CAAUCUUCAGUGUGUCAACAUGUCUUGUUCAUUUUCUGGACAUACCUUUGGAUCGUAUCUUUGGAUCAUAUUCUAAGGCAAACAUUUAAUACAGAUACAGCAGCGUCCCCAGGUGUGAAAUAAACCUAGGCCCACACACCUGGGUUGUCGUUUUCACCUAUACCAUAUCUCCAAUAAAUCAUCGGCCAUUGAAGAACAACAAAAGUAGCGUCUGUUGUCUGUGCGUGACUGACGCAGUCCUGCUACAUUGGAGCCCC
Long non-coding RNA from Haliotis rubra (blacklip abalone), 257 nucleotides. RefSeq lists it as uncharacterized. The record is from RefSeq and is a predicted model, not a curated record. The transcript is spliced from 3 exons. Lineage: Eukaryota; Metazoa; Mollusca; Gastropoda; Lepetellida; Haliotidae.